CAGUAGCCACGGUAAUACGUAGGGUGCAAGCGUUAAUCGGAAUUACUGGGCGUAAAGCGUGCGCAGGCGGUUCUAUAAGACAGAUGUGAAAUCCCCGGGCUCAACCUGGGAACUGCAUUUGUGACUGUAGAGCUGGAGUGCGGCAGAGGGGGAUGGAAUUCCGCGUGUAGCAGUGAAAUGCGUAGAUAUGCGGAGGAACACCGAUGGCGAAGGCAAUCCCCUGGGCCUGCACUGACGCUCAUGCACGAAAGCGUGGGGAGCAAACAGGAUUAGAUACCCCCGUAGUCCCUGUCUCUUAUAC
This 301-nucleotide ribosomal RNA is filed under the name uncultured bacterium. RNAcentral describes it as "partial 16S ribosomal RNA". It matches the Rfam family "Bacterial small subunit ribosomal RNA", at positions 509 to 807 of the family's 1533-position model. The record is from RNAcentral.